AUUGAACGCUGGCGGCAGGCCUAACACAUGCAAGUCGAACGAGUGGCGGACGGGUGGGCAAUGUCGGGGAAACUGCCUGAUGGAGGGGGAUAACUACUGGAAACGGUAGCUAAUACCGCAUACCAUCGGAUGUGCCCAGAUGGGCUUAGCUAGUAGGUGGGGUAACGGCACACCUAGGCGACGAUCCCUAGCUGGUCUGAGAGGAUGACCAGCCACACUGGAACUGAGACACGGUCCAGACUCCUACGGGAGGCAGCAGUGGGGAAUAUUGCACAAUGGGCGCAAGCCUGAUGGAGCCAUGCCGCGUGUAUGAAGAAGGCCUUCGGGUUGUAAAGUACUUUCAGCGGGGAGGCGUUACCCGCAGAAGAAGCACCGGCUAACUCCGUGCCAGCAGCCGCGGUAAUUC
This 406-nucleotide ribosomal RNA is filed under the name uncultured bacterium. RNAcentral describes it as "partial 16S ribosomal RNA". It matches the Rfam family "Bacterial small subunit ribosomal RNA", at positions 30 to 526 of the family's 1533-position model. The record is from RNAcentral.